This 466-nucleotide ribosomal RNA is filed under the name uncultured bacterium. RNAcentral's name for it is "bacterial SSU rRNA". It matches the Rfam family "Bacterial small subunit ribosomal RNA", at positions 338 to 795 of the family's 1533-position model. The record is from RNAcentral.
CCUACGGGAGGCAGCAGUAGGGAAUUUUGCACAAUGGGCGCAAGCCUGAUGCAGCAACGCCGCGUGAGUGAAGAAGGCUCUUGGGUUGUAAAGCUCUUUCGGCUGGGAAGAAGGGUUUGCCUGCGAACAGCUUGCAGAUCUGACGGUACCAGAAGAAGAAGCACCUGCUAACUUCGUGCCAGCAGCAGCGGUAAUACGAAGGGUGCAAGCGUUGUUCGGAAUUACUGGGCGUAAAGCGCGCGUAGGCGGGCUUGUAAGUUGAUUGUGAAAUCCCUGGGCUCAACCUGGGAACUGCAGUCAAUACUGCAAGUCUUGAAUGUCUGAGAGGAUGGCGGAAUUCCCGGUGUAGUAGUGAAAUACGUAGAUAUCGGGAAGAACACCUGAGGCGAAGGCGGCUAUCUGGCGGCACAUUGACGCUGAGGCGCGAAAGCGUGGGGAGCAAACAGGAUUAGAUACCCUUGUAGUC